RNAcentral lists this non-coding RNA (182 nucleotides) under Saccharobesus litoralis. RNAcentral's name for it is "6S / SsrS RNA". It matches the Rfam family "6S / SsrS RNA". From Rfam's summary of the family: E. coli 6S RNA was the first non coding RNA to be sequenced, but its function was unknown until recently. Lineage: Bacteria; Pseudomonadati; Pseudomonadota; Gammaproteobacteria; Alteromonadales; Alteromonadaceae. The record is from Rfam by way of RNAcentral.
UGGUCCCUGAGGUAUUCGUUAAAGGUUAUGUCCCUGAGCCGAUACUUCUAUACCCAGGAUCCUAGCUUGGCUACUAUUGAGCAGGCUCGGCAUGUACCGAGAAGCCUACGGUAAUCAUCUAGCUUCCGCCUUGAACCAUACGGUUCAAGGGCUGACACCUGCAGCGGUACCUUGGGGAGCGC